AUGAACGCUGGCGGCGUGCCUCAUACAUGCAAGUCGAGCGAACAGACGAGGAGCUUGCUCCUCUGACGUUAGCGGCGGACGGGUGAGUAACACGUGGAUAACCUACCUAUAAGACUGGGAUAACUUCGGGAAACCGGAGCUAAUACCGGAUAAUAUAUUGAACCGCAUGGUUCAAUAGUGAAAGACGGUUUUGCUGUCACUUAUAGAUGGAUCCGCGCCGCAUUAGCUAGUUGGUAAGGUAACGGCUUACCAAGGCAACGAUGCGUAGCCGACCUGAGAGGGUGAGCGGCCACACUGGAACUGAGACACGGUCCAGACUCCUACGGGAGGCAGCAGUAGGGAAUCUUCCGCAAUGGGCGAAAGCCUGACGGAGCAACGCCGCGUGAGUGAUGAAGGUCUUCGGAUCGUAAAACUCUGUUAUUAGGGAAGAACAAAUGUGUAAGUAACUAUGCACGUCUUGACGGUACCUAAUCAGAAAGCCACGGCUAACUACGUG
This 496-nucleotide ribosomal RNA is filed under the name uncultured bacterium. RNAcentral describes it as "partial 16S ribosomal RNA". It matches the Rfam family "Bacterial small subunit ribosomal RNA", at positions 29 to 507 of the family's 1533-position model. The record is from RNAcentral.